UCUGGGUAUGGUAGUGCGUACCUGUAAUCCCAGCAACUCAGGAGGCUGAGGCAGGAGGAUCGCAACUUGGAAUCCAGCCUCAGCAAUUAGCAAGACCCGAAGCUACUUAGUGAAACCCUGUCUCAA
Molecule: small RNA, 126 nt
Filed under: Marmota monax (woodchuck)
Lineage: Eukaryota; Metazoa; Chordata; Mammalia; Rodentia; Sciuridae
Source: RNAcentral